Molecule: ribosomal RNA, 253 nt
Filed under: uncultured bacterium
Lineage: Bacteria
Description: partial 16S ribosomal RNA
Rfam family: Bacterial small subunit ribosomal RNA
Source: RNAcentral
GACGAACCGAGCGAACGUUGUUCGGAAUAACUGGGCUUAAAGGGCGCGUAGGCGGGCCGCCAAGUUCGAGGUGAAAUCCUCCGGCUCAACCGGAGAACUGCCUCGAAUACUGGAGGUCUCGAGGCGGGUAGGGGCACGCGGAACUGUGGGUGGAGCGGUGAAAUGCGUUGAUAUCCACAGGAACUCCGGUGGCGAAGGCGGCGUGCUGGACCCGAUCUGACGCUGAGGCGCGAAAGCCAGGGGAGCAAACGGG